This 442-nucleotide ribosomal RNA is filed under the name Campylobacter concisus. Its description in RNAcentral is "bacterial SSU rRNA". It matches the Rfam family "Bacterial small subunit ribosomal RNA", at positions 32 to 489 of the family's 1533-position model. The record is from RNAcentral. Lineage: Bacteria; Pseudomonadati; Campylobacterota; Epsilonproteobacteria; Campylobacterales; Campylobacteraceae.
AACGCUGGCGGCGUGCCUAAUACAUGCAAGUCGAACGGACGAGUAAGAGCUUGCUCUUAUGAGUUAGUGGCGCACGGGUGAGUAAUGUAUAGCUAAUCUGCCCUACACUAGAGGACAACAGUUGGAAACGACUGCUAAUACUCUAUACUCCUCUCUAGCAUAAGUUAGAUAGGGAAAGUUUUUCGGUGUAGGAUGAGGCUAUAUUGUAUCAGCUAGUUGGUGAGGUAAUGGCUCACCAAGGCUAUGACGCAUAACUGGUCUGAGAGGAUGAUCAGUCACACUGGAACUGAGACACGGUCCAGACCUCCUACGGGAGGCAGCAGUAGGGAAUAUUGCUCAAUGGGGGAAACCCUGAAGCAGCAACGCCGCGUGGAGGAUGACACUUUUCGGAGCGUAAACUCCUUUUGUUAUGGGAAGAACAAUAGACGUACCUAACGAAUAA